UGUCGAAUGUCCGGAAUGGUGACAUUAAAACGACAGAUUGGUCUGGCAGCCUGCAUCAGUUAUGUCGCUGGUGCAAUUAUUGGUUCUGGCAUAUUUAUAAGCCCAUCAUCGGUUUUAAUCGGAUGUGGGUAUUCCGUGGGAGUAACUCUUAUGAUGUGGGCCCUUUGUGGAUUAUUGGCCCUGUGUGGAGCUAUGUGUUAUAUGGAGUUAGGUUCAAGAGUAAGUAAAUCGGGUGGUAAUUAUACCUAUAUAAAGGAAGGUUUUGGCGAUGUGAUUGGAUUUCUGUUUGUUUGGUCGAGUCUCUUCAUGCGACCUAUGUCAACUGCCCUGGGAUGUAUGGCAUCUGCGGAAUAUAUUAUGAGAGCUGUUUUUAUGUGUUCGGAUGGUGUACCAUCUUCAGCCAAGACUAUUUUAACUAUUGUUAUUUUGGCUCUUAUUACAUGUGGAAAUUGUUACAGCGUUAAACUGGGUGCAUAUUAUCAAACUGUCAGUACUGUUUGUAAAGUUACAGUCUUAACGGUAAUUAUUGGAACUGGGUUCAUCCAUUUAGCACAAGGUCAGACGGAGAACUUCCAGAAUUCAUUUUUUACAACUGACACCACGAUGCUGGGCUUAACAAAGGCAUUCUAUGCUGCAUUUUUUGCUUAUAUGGGAU
Molecule: long non-coding RNA, 655 nt
Organism: Patella vulgata (common limpet)
Lineage: Eukaryota; Metazoa; Mollusca; Gastropoda; Patellidae
Exons: 4
Source: RefSeq, a predicted model, not a curated record